Molecule: ribosomal RNA, 310 nt
Filed under: uncultured fungus
Lineage: Eukaryota; Fungi
Description: eukaryotic LSU rRNA
Rfam family: 5.8S ribosomal RNA (bases 1-115)
Source: RNAcentral
AACGCAGCGAAGGGCGAUAAGUAAUGUGAAUUGCAGUAAUUUAGUGAAUCAUCGAAUCUUUGAACGCACAUUGCCGCCCCUUGGCAUUCCGAGGGGCAUGCCUGUUCGAGCGUCAUCACAACCCUCAAGCUCUGCUUGGUGUUGGGCAUCGCCAGUCUUGGUGUGACCUUAAAAUCAGUGGCGGCGCCAUCUGGCCCUCAGCAUAGUAGUAAUUCUCUUGCUAGUAGGGACCUGGUAGGUGCCAGCCAUCCAACCCCUAGUUAUAAUUAAGGUUGACCUCGGAUCAGGUAGGGAUACCCGCUGAACUUAA